GACAGAGGGUGCAAACGUUGCUCGGAAUUACUGGGCGUAAAGGGCUCGUAGGCGGCCAACUAAGUCGGAUGUGAAAUCCCCAGGCUUAACCUGGGAACUGCAUCCGAUACUGGAUGGCUUGAAUCCGGGAGAGGGAUGCAGAAUUCCAGGUGUAGCGGUGAAAUGCGUAGAUAUCUGGAGGAAUACCGGUGGCGAAGGCGGCAUCCUGGACCGGCAUUGACGCUGAUGAGCGAAAGCUAGGGGAGCAAACGGG
This 253-nucleotide ribosomal RNA is filed under the name uncultured bacterium. RNAcentral describes it as "partial 16S ribosomal RNA". It matches the Rfam family "Bacterial small subunit ribosomal RNA", at positions 524 to 776 of the family's 1533-position model. The record is from RNAcentral.